AUCCGCCAUAGAAGAAGUGGGAGUGGAGCAUGGUUCUCUUAUUCUGCUUGGUAUGAUGAGGAGCUUUCACUGAAGACUGGAGUUCCCCGGUUGUUUUUCCUUCAGUCGCCAGGCAAUGGAAUACCUCUCAGAAGAAGUGGUGAAAAGAAAGGGGUUGAACGAUCCCUUCUCUCUGGCUACCCUAGAGGAUUCAGGAGCCCUGGAAAAACAUGGCAGCUGGAGCAGAGCAGGGAGUGGAUCAGUCACACAGGUACAGCAGCCAUGGUAAGAUCUCUCAUCAGCCUUUUGCUCUUCACCUGCCUCUGUGGUUUUAACUUGGAAUAAUUCAUACCUGUUUGAAUAUCUGUUUCACAACUGUAAUGUUGAUGUUAAAUUAGCAAACAUUUGGGUUAUUAUGUAAAUGCCUGUGCAAAUAGACUUUAUUAUUAUUACU
Molecule: long non-coding RNA, 433 nt
Filed under: Oncorhynchus kisutch (coho salmon)
Lineage: Eukaryota; Metazoa; Chordata; Actinopteri; Salmoniformes; Salmonidae
Description: lncRNA (ENSOKIG00005034054.1)
Source: RNAcentral